GAUGAAGAACGCAGCGAAAUGCGAUAAGUAAUGUGAAUUGCAGAAUUCAGUGAAUCAUCGAAUCUUUGAACGCACAUUGCGCCCGCCAGCAUUCUGGCGGGCAUGCCUGUUCGAGCGUCAUUUCAACCCUCGAGCCCCCCCCGGGGGCCUCGGUGUUGGGGGCCGGCACACCAGCCGCCCCCGAAAUGCAGUGGCGACCCCGCCGCAGCCUCCCCUGCGUAGUAGCACACACCUCGCACCGGAGCGCGGAGGCGGUCACGCCGUAAAACGCCCAACUUUCUUAGAGUUGACCUCGGAUCAGGUAGGAAUACCCGCUGAACUUAAGCAUAUCAAUAAGCGGAGGA
This 344-nucleotide unclassified non-coding RNA is filed under the name soil metagenome. RNAcentral's name for it is "partial contains 5.8S ribosomal RNA, internal transcribed spacer 2, and large subunit ribosomal RNA". The stretch from base 1 to 120 matches the Rfam family "5.8S ribosomal RNA", at positions 35 to 154 of the family's 154-position model. The record is from RNAcentral.